RNAcentral lists this ribosomal RNA (580 nucleotides) under Enterobacter hormaechei. RNAcentral describes it as "bacterial SSU rRNA". It matches the Rfam family "Bacterial small subunit ribosomal RNA", at positions 558 to 1139 of the family's 1533-position model. The record is from RNAcentral. Lineage: Bacteria; Pseudomonadati; Pseudomonadota; Gammaproteobacteria; Enterobacterales; Enterobacteriaceae.
GCGUAAGCGCACGCAGGCGGUCUGUCAAGUCGGAUGUGAAAUCCCCGGGCUCAACCUGGGAACUGCAUUCGAAACUGGCAGGCUAGAGUCUUGUAGAGGGGGGUAGAAUUCCAGGUGUAGCGGUGAAAUGCGUAGAGAUCUGGAGGAAUACCGGUGGCGAAGGCGGCCCCCUGGACAAAGACUGACGCUCAGGUGCGAAAGCGUGGGGAGCAAACAGGAUUAGAUACCCUGGUAGUCCACGCCGUAAACGAUGUCGACUUGGAGGUUGUGCCCUUGAGGCGUGGCUUCCGGAGCUAACGCGUUAAGUCGACCGCCUGGGGAGUACGGCCGCAAGGUUAAAACUCAAAUGAAUUGACGGGGGCCCGCACAAGCGGUGGAGCAUGUGGUUUAAUUCGAUGCAACGCGAAGAACCUUACCUACUCUUGACAUCCAGAGAACUUUCCAGAGAUGCAUUGGUGCCUUCGGGAACUCUGAGACAGGUGCUGCAUGGCUGUCGUCAGCUCGUGUUGUGAAAUGUUGGGUUAAGUCCCGCAACGAGCGCAACCCUUAUCCUUUGUUGCCAGCGGUUAGGCCGGGAACU